GAUGAACGCUGGCGGCGUGCCUAAUACAUGCAAGUCGAGCGAACGGACGAGAAGCUUGCUUCUCUGAUGUUAGCGGCGGACGGGUGAGUAACACGUGGAUAACCUACCUAUAAGACUGGGAUAACUUCGUGAAACCGGAGCUAAUACCGGAUAAUAUUUUGAACCGCAUGGUUCAAAAGUGAAAGACGGUCUUGCUGUCACUUAUAGAUGGAUCCGCGCUGCAUUAGCUAGUUGGUAAGGUAACGGCUUACCAAUGCAACGAUGCAUAGCCGACCUGAGAGGGUGAUCGGCCACACUGGAACUGAGACACCGUCCAGACUCCUACGGGAGGCAGCAGUAGGGAAUCUUCCGCAAUGGGCGAAAGCCUGACGGAGCAACGCCGCGUGAGUGAUGAAGGUCUUCGGAUCGUAAAACUCUGUUAGUAGGGAAGAACAUAUGUGUAAGUAACUGUGCACAUCUUGACGGUACCUAAUCAGAAAGCCACGGCUAACUACGUG
Molecule: ribosomal RNA, 497 nt
Filed under: uncultured bacterium
Lineage: Bacteria
Description: partial 16S ribosomal RNA
Rfam family: Bacterial small subunit ribosomal RNA
Source: RNAcentral